RNAcentral lists this long non-coding RNA (882 nucleotides) under Lactuca sativa (garden lettuce). RNAcentral's name for it is "long non-coding RNA (LSAT_LNC005715)". The record is from RNAcentral. Lineage: Eukaryota; Viridiplantae; Streptophyta; Magnoliopsida; Asterales; Asteraceae.
ACAAAAACACCAAAACCUUGAUUACAGACUAACAAUGGCAGCCGCUACAUCCGCCGCAGUCUUAAACGGCCUCGGAUCACCCUUCUUGACCGGCGGCAAGAGGAGCCACACCUUGUCAGCACCACUAAAUGCCGCCACCAGUGCCACCUCCGCCCCUAGGCGCCUUGUCAUUGCUGCCGCCGUCGCUCCCAAGAAAUCUUGGAUCCCCGCCGUAAAGGGUGGCGGCAAUUUACUCGAUCCCGAGUGGCUCGAUGGCUCGUAAGUCUUUUUCUUAUGUAUUUUUUUUUUAAAUAAAUUAAAAAACCCACUUGAUUUUCUCUCCGAGUAUACUAAGAUUUGUCCUUUGUGUAUAACCGGUUCAAAACAGGCUCCCAGGUGACUUCGGGUUUGACCCGUUAGGUCUAGGCAAGGACCCGGCAUUUCUAAAAUGGUACAGAGAAGCUGAACUCAUCCAUGGCCGGUGGGCCAUGGCUGCAGUCCUGGGCAUCUUCGUGGGUCAGGCAUGGAGCGGGAUCCCAUGGUUUGAAGCUGGAGCCGACCCGGGUGCCAUUGCCCCGUUUUCAUUCGGAUCUCUUUUGGGCACCCAACUCCUACUCAUGGGUUGGGUCGAGAGCAAGAGAUGGGUCGACUUCUUCAACCCGGAAUCACAAUCGGUUGAGUGGGCCACCCCAUGGUCCAAAACAGCUGAAAAUUUCACCAACUACACUGGCGAACAAGGGUACCCAGGUGGCAAAUUUUUCGACCCGUUGGGCUUUGCGGGUACGCUCCAGAACGGAGAAUAUGUCCCGGAUACCGAAAAGCUUGAUAGAUUGAAGUUGGCUGAGAUUAAGCAUGCAAGACUUGCUAUGGUUGCUAUGUUAAUUUUUUACUUUGAAGCAGGAC